RNAcentral lists this ribosomal RNA (406 nucleotides) under uncultured bacterium. Its description in RNAcentral is "partial 16S ribosomal RNA". It matches the Rfam family "Bacterial small subunit ribosomal RNA", at positions 30 to 527 of the family's 1533-position model. The record is from RNAcentral.
AUUGAACGCUGGCGGCAGGCUUAACACAUGCAAGUCGAGCGAGCGCCGGCCGCUUCACUAAUGUCUCGGAACCUGCCUCAUGGAGCGGGAUAACUACUGCAAACGGUAGCUAAUACCUCAUACCAUCAUAUGUGCCCUGAUGGGAUUAGCUAGUAGGUGGGGUAAUGGCUCACGUAGGCGACGAUCCCUAGCUGGUCUGAGAGGCUGACCGGCCACACUGGAACUGAGACACGGUCCGGACUCCUACGGGAGGCAGCAGUGGGAAAUGUUGCACAAUGGGCGAAAGCCUGAUGCAGCCAUGCCGCGUGUGUGAAGAAGGCCUUCGGGUUGUAAAGCACUGUCAGCGAGGAGGCGUUAAUCGAAGAAGAAGCACCGGCUAACUCCGUGCCAGCAGCCGCGGUAAUUG